GGGAGAGAUGGCUGAGUGGACUAAAGCGUCGGAUUGCUAAUCCGUUGUACGAAUUAUUCGUACCGAGGGUUCGAAUCCCUCUCUCUCCGACCCCC
This 95-nucleotide transfer RNA is filed under the name Dendrobium henryi. RNAcentral's name for it is "tRNA-Ser". It matches the Rfam family "tRNA". Rfam says of the family: Transfer RNA (tRNA) molecules are approximately 80 nucleotides in length. Their secondary structure includes four short double-helical elements and three loops (D, anti-codon, and T loops). Further hydrogen bonds mediate the characteristic L-shaped molecular structure. tRNAs have two regions of fundamental functional importance: the anti-codon, which is responsible for specific mRNA codon recognition, and the 3' end, to which the tRNAs corresponding amino acid is attached (by aminoacyl-tRNA synthetases). tRNAs cope with the degeneracy of the genetic code in two manners: having more than one tRNA (with a specific anti-codon) for a particular amino acid; and 'wobble' base-pairing, i.e. permitting non-standard base-pairing at the 3rd anti-codon position. Lineage: Eukaryota; Viridiplantae; Streptophyta; Magnoliopsida; Asparagales; Orchidaceae. The record is from RNAcentral.